AUUUAUGUAGUUUACAAAAACAUUACAUUUUCACUGUAAAGACAAAGAAGUAGCUUUCAUAAAUA
This 65-nucleotide transfer RNA is filed under the name Mastotermes darwiniensis (giant northern termite). RNAcentral describes it as "tRNA-Glu". It matches the Rfam family "tRNA". From Rfam's summary of the family: Transfer RNA (tRNA) molecules are approximately 80 nucleotides in length. Lineage: Eukaryota; Metazoa; Arthropoda; Insecta; Blattodea; Mastotermitidae. The record is from RNAcentral.